Non-coding RNA from Paramisgurnus dabryanus, 704 nucleotides. The record is from RefSeq and is a predicted model, not a curated record. NCBI's taxonomy places the organism in Eukaryota, Metazoa, Chordata, Actinopteri, Cypriniformes, Cobitidae.
AAUAAUAUUUCCAUAAAACGAAAACAAUACUGAAAACAUGUAAUAGUAGUUUAAUAUGUUUAUUAUGGUUUGUUUAAAUAACAUACAAUGUGUUGAAUGAGAAGCAUAAGUUACUGCUGCUGUCGGAUCGCGUGAAGCUUGAUGUGUCGCCAUAAAAACUCAAACAAGUCGAUUAAAAAUUGCUGUUUAAAAAAAACUCACACCAGGGACAGUUGUGACAUCACCAUCACCUGAAGGUUAAAAACAAGAAGUGUCGGUAUAUUCCAUGUAUUAAACACUCGACUCGACUGACUGUCCCACUGUAGAGAUACAGCAUGUCUCUGUGCUUUUAUAUUUGCUCAUUGAAGACUAAGCUAUUUGAAACUUGGGCAUUGCAUUUUACAGACAGAAUCCUGCAACCUCCCACUCAGGAACCAGGAACAUCAACAAAUCACCUCCAGAACCCCAUGAUGAUAUUCCAACUCCUGUCUACAAAAGUGGGAAGAAAAUCUUAAGUCUACAUAUGAAACAGUCAUUGUGAGUCUUCUAGAAGACAAUGAAACGUGCCAUGGUCCAGUGGUUGAUGAUUUCAUGAAGUGGUGUGAUGAUGCUUGUUUGCAGAUUAAUGUAUGUAAUACUAAUAUAUUUUUAUCAGAAAUUUGAUUGUUUGUGUAGGGCUAUGUAUUCUUUUAUGUACUCUUUUAUUUUAUAGGCAAUAAAUAUGC